CAGCCGCCGCGGUAAUACGAGGGGAGCUAGCGUUGUUCGGAAUUACUGGGCGUAAAGCGCGCGUAGGCGGCUUUUUAAGUCAGAGGUGAAAGCCCGGGGCUCAACCCCGGAAUUGCCUUUGAAACUGGAAAGCUAGAAUCUUGGAGAGGUCAGUGGAAUUCCGAGUGUAGAGGUGAAAUUCGUAGAUAUUCGGAAGAACACCAGUGGCGAAGGCGGCUCACUGGACGACUGUUGACGCUGAGGCACGAAAGCGUGGGGAGCAAACAGGAUUAGAUACCCCAGUAGUCCCUGUCUCUUAUAC
Molecule: ribosomal RNA, 301 nt
Filed under: uncultured bacterium
Lineage: Bacteria
Description: partial 16S ribosomal RNA
Rfam family: Bacterial small subunit ribosomal RNA
Source: RNAcentral